GAUCCGCGGCGGCGCGCACUGAGCCAGAGCAUCCGAGCACUUUGGAGCAGCGCGGGAUUGAUCCGACGCGCAAGAACGCACCGGCACGCUGACAAGCGCGCCCUCCACAUCCACCUGAAAACCUCCAGAGCGGCUAAUUGUCCUGUUUGAAGGGCGAGAAAAGGGAGACUGAGCCCCGUUUUUAUUCACAGGCAGAACACCGUGUUCCCAUGAUGUCAUACCUGUGGAUUCUGCUAUUAGGAAGCCUGCUGGCUUCACACGCCAAGGCACAAGAUGAGGAAGCCCCAGCAGAUGAGGAAACAGCUCCUGACACAGGUGCCGACGGAGACCCUCAAGUUGACAAGGAAGCAGAUGAGACUCCUGCUGACCC
Molecule: long non-coding RNA, 370 nt
Organism: Stegastes partitus (bicolor damselfish)
Lineage: Eukaryota; Metazoa; Chordata; Actinopteri; Pomacentridae
Exons: 3
Source: RefSeq, a predicted model, not a curated record